AACUUAAAUGCAACAUUAAAUGUUUAAUCUUUUGAUCUUACCACUCAUAAAUAAAUAAAUCAUGUAACACAACUUUAUCUUGUUUAAUGUGCCUAAGCAUGGAGAAAAAUAAAUAAAGAAAUAGAUUUGGUUCUGUUGGUGUUUUUCCACUAGCAGAGCCCAUGCACUUGAUCUCUACCUUAGUUUUGCAAACAGGACAACACAUCAUGCAAAGUUUAUUAAUUCUAUAAGUGAAAGUUUUGUGAGCAUGCACAUUAAGCAAGAUGCUGCCAGCUACUAUUAAAACUCUCCUUCAACCUGCUGGCCCAAUCAAAAAACAAAGGUGACAUCAUCAUCACUAGAGGUAUGCAACCAUCAAGACCUCCAUCUCUCAAUAGAUGGAGAGAUACACAAGAGUGGAAGAAGAAGACCUGUCGGUAAAACUCUAAAUUUUAUAUUUUAGCCAUAAGGUUAGAAUGGUAGUUAUCUCUUUCAAUGAAUUUGUAAUUUAGUAGCAUAAUUUUGGUUACACAGUAAAAGAUAUAAAAACAAAAAAAAUAUUUACUGCAUUACUCAUGGCAUCUCAAGCCCCAUGUGGAUACCCUAUGGUAUUCUCCAAAGGAACAUCCACUGUGGUGGCAUAAAAUAAAAAUGACAAAAAUAUAGUAUUUAAAUUCCUGCUUGGACUCUGUAGCUGGGCGGGCGCCCUGCCCCUGGGCCCGAUCGCCUUCCCGUUCGUUCCCGUGGCUUCUGGAGUCUUCUAGAUGAUAGAAAAUUGCGCGGCACGUUAAUAUCUCUAUGUAAACCCGACAUGUGGGCCUUUCCUCCAUAUUUCCUGAUAACCCCCUGCAGAAAUAGACAAACACCAAAACUCGUGGAAUUCUGUCAGAUAAAACCCUAAGUCUGGGUGUUGGUUGCAUAUAAGUCCGUUUCCAUGAUUAGUUGACGGUUAAAUGUGAGCGUUAAGGACCGUCAACACCCCCACGUUUACAUAUGACAUGCCUC
Molecule: long non-coding RNA, 984 nt
Filed under: Sorghum bicolor (sorghum)
Lineage: Eukaryota; Viridiplantae; Streptophyta; Magnoliopsida; Poales; Poaceae
Description: long non-coding RNA (SBIC_LNC013139)
Source: RNAcentral